RNAcentral lists this unclassified non-coding RNA (606 nucleotides) under Hevea brasiliensis (rubber tree). Lineage: Eukaryota; Viridiplantae; Streptophyta; Magnoliopsida; Malpighiales; Euphorbiaceae. The record is from RNAcentral.
UUCCAUCCGCCCCAUUGAGUACACCGACAGAAGUAUCUCCAUGCCCGGCCGGAUACCCGCACCACUUGGGAGUCUCUCCGACCGAACUACACAUUUCCUCUCCACUGGGACAGGUGGAAACAGCCUCAAAGUUUCACAUAGGGCUGCAUGCAAGUAAACCAGUUUCCCCAACUCCGUAGUAGAACCAGACAUGAAACAACAAUCCUUCAAUUCCUCGACCACUCUCCUUUCAACACACGGAUUCUUUGCCAGCAGCCAGAAAAACCACGCCAGUGCUGUGCCAGUAGUGUCCCUCCCUGCUAGCAUGAGACUCAAGGUCGUGUCUCGAAAGACCUUAUCGUUAUCACUCGAAUUAUCAUCCAUAUACGAUGAUAACAGAUCUGGUUCGGUGAUGUUCAAUGCCCGCCGUUUUGAUAUUGUCUUGGCUAUGAAGCCGUCGAUUACUUCCCGAGCCCUAGCAAGUUUCUUCUCCUCUCCAACCUCAAGGAACCUCAGCAGCUUCCACCAGAAAGUGGGCACCAUGUGGCGGACAAACACCGCCUCCAUCGCAUCAUCCAUCGCUUUGGCAAAUCCGACCGAUGGGAAACUGACAGCGAGGAAGCCUGG